Molecule: long non-coding RNA, 1390 nt
Organism: Clarias gariepinus (North African catfish)
Lineage: Eukaryota; Metazoa; Chordata; Actinopteri; Siluriformes; Clariidae
Exons: 3
Source: RefSeq, a predicted model, not a curated record
GAGAAAGAGAGAGAGAGUUUAUAGUUAUUUAGUUAUACAUUUCACAUCUAACUUUAGAUCUAAAGAUGGAAUAAGAGUUGAAAAGCUCCCGCACCUAGGAAAAUACUCAUCACCAAAGCGGCAUUCCUUGGUGGUUUAUUUAAAACUACACUCACUAAAGUGGCAUGUUUUAGUAAGGAAUGAAGCACAACGAAACUCAAGCAUGCCAGAAUGCCGGAUCUGAUCUGCAUUCCAGCUGGAAAAUUAAAAGGUAAAGGAGAAGAUCUGGGGGACUCAUGGACGUAGAGUAUUAUGGUGAACUGGUAUGUUUGGAUGCUGUCUUCCUCACUCUCAUUGAUCACUCAGGUUUGUUGACGUGAGGUGAUUGUUUGCUUUACAUCUCAGGAAGCCCUCAUGUUUGUGUUUCCUUCUGGCUCUCCAUUUUAUUUAUGCUGUCAUAGUUACAGUAGUCCUGCCGAAGUCUCUGCUUGCACUCUACAGUUAAUAUACAUUCACAUUAUACAUUGUGUGACUGUGACCAUACCUAACUGCCAUCUCUCCUCUUCCUCUCUUUCUCCCACUCUUUCUCUUUCCUCUCUCCUCCUGUCUCCCCCUUUCACUCUUUCUCUCUCUCUGUUGAGCUACACAUGUCGUUCCUGAGUUGCCAGUGAUCCAGACUCCCUCUGCCCUCCGGACCUGUCUGACCCAUCCUGGUGCCCCGCUUCUGGUUGGUGAUCCUGUCACAUGGAUGCCCCGUGUGCCUAUUUGGGAUGCGUCUGGUGUCUGGGGAUGAUUCUCUUUACCUAGAAGGCGGUUCUGGCGUCGACUGGUGUUGGCAACUGUUUCUCUGGGGACUUGACAGUUCGAUAGUUCAGGACUGGAACUUCCUACAAGUCUACCUGGGUCUUUAAUAAGUACCUGGACUCCAUAUUAACAUCAAUUUAUUGUACAUCAGCUAUUAUAGCUGAACUGCCUGCCACCUAACACAAUGUAUAAAUGCAGAUAAUUUACUGCUUUCUGUUCCACCCAAAUGAGGAUGGGUUCCCUGUUGAGUCUGGUUCCUCUCAAGGUUUCUUCCUAUUAUCAUCUCAGGGAGUUUUUCCUUGCCACUGUCGCCCUCGGCUUGCUCACCAGGGACAAACUGACUAUUCUGAUUCAUACACAUUCACAUUUCAAAGAAACUUAAAUAAUUCUUUUGAUUGUGUAAAGCUGCUUUGCGCCAAUGACAAUUGCUAAAAGCGCUAUACAAAUAAAAUUGAAUUGAAUUGAAUAGUUAUAAAGACGAUGAAGCACAGGAUGUGCAAAAACACUUAUUCAGGCACAAUUCAUUAGAAGGCUUAAUUGUUAUUUUAAUUCCAAAUAAUUAAUUUUUAUUUAGUUUUUCUGCUUGUGAUAUUUACAUACCUGGUGU